This is a long non-coding RNA of Neltuma alba, 372 nucleotides long. RefSeq lists it as uncharacterized. The record is from RefSeq and is a predicted model, not a curated record. The transcript is spliced from 3 exons. Lineage: Eukaryota; Viridiplantae; Streptophyta; Magnoliopsida; Fabales; Fabaceae.
UCGGUGUAUUUCUCUCUGAGGUUUCAGGAAAUAGCAGGAGCUCUAGAUUCUGUGCUUACAACAUCCAGCCUCCUCCCUGUUCAAAAUUCAGACCCUGGUGAAGCAAACUAUCAAAAUUUAACACUAAAACAAAGUGUCACUCUAUUGGAGAGUUUGAGGUCGUGCUGGAGGGAAGACGUUUUUUGCUUUCUUGUUCUGACAAGUUCCUUCGCUUAUCAUUGCAACUUCUUGCUAGAUACACUAAUUGGUUGUCAAGUGGGCUGAUUGCUCGUAAGACUGGGAACAUAAGCACCAGCCCAGGGUCUGAAUGGGCUAUUUCAGCUGUUGCAGAUGACUUUAUUUUUGUAUGCAUCACACCUUGACUGUAGCGUA